UACGUAGGGUGCAAGCGUUGUCCGGAAUCAUUGGGCGUAAAGCGCGCGUAGGUGGCUCUGUAAGUCCGUUGUGAAAGUCAAAGGCUCAACCUUUGAAUGCCGAUGGAUACUGCAGAGCUAGAGUACGGAAGAGGCGAGUGGAAUUCCUGGUGUAGCGGUGGAAUGCGCAGAUAUCAGGAGGAACACCGGUGGCGAAGGCGGUUCUCUGGGCAUUACCUGACGCUGAGGAGCGAAAGUGUGGGGAGCGAACAGG
Molecule: ribosomal RNA, 253 nt
Filed under: uncultured bacterium
Lineage: Bacteria
Description: partial 16S ribosomal RNA
Rfam family: Bacterial small subunit ribosomal RNA
Source: RNAcentral